This 460-nucleotide long non-coding RNA is filed under the name Homo sapiens (human). RNAcentral describes it as "HSALNT0217627". The record is from RNAcentral. Lineage: Eukaryota; Metazoa; Chordata; Mammalia; Primates; Hominidae.
GUCGGGCCCCCAGGCCCCAGGCCAGUGUCCAUCAGCCAGGUGCUCAGCUCCCAGUGCGCUGAAGCUCAGACCCUUCCUGGCACCCUGGUGUCCAGCACUGAGCUGUGUGAGCUUUUCCACCCAGGUGGGCCCCCUGGCAUUGACCGACAUAGAUGAUGAGACUGGAGGAAGACUUCCAUUGGGCCCACUUUUCCUGGGCCAGUGUCCAUCAGCCAGGUGCUCAGCCCCUGGUGUACUGAAGCUCCAGCCUUUCCUGGUGCCCCAGUCUUCUGCACUAAGCUGUGUGAGCUCUUCCACCCAGGAGGGCCCCUUGGCAUUGACUGGCAUAGAUGGUGAGACGGGAGGAAGACUUGUGUUGGGCCUGCUGUUCCUGGGCCAGUGGCCAUCAGCCUGUUGCCCAGCCCCUGAGGCGCUGAAGCUCAGGCCCUUCCUCACACCCUGGUCUCCUGCACUAGCUGUG